RNAcentral lists this ribosomal RNA (396 nucleotides) under uncultured beta proteobacterium. Its description in RNAcentral is "bacterial SSU rRNA". It matches the Rfam family "Bacterial small subunit ribosomal RNA", at positions 975 to 1363 of the family's 1533-position model. The record is from RNAcentral. Lineage: Bacteria; Pseudomonadati; Pseudomonadota; Betaproteobacteria.
CUACCCUAGACAUGGCAGGAAUCCAGCAGAGAUUAGUGAGUGCUCGCAAGAGAACCUGCACACAGGCGCUGCCUGGCUGUCGUCAGCUCGUGUCGUGAGAUGUUGGGUUAAGUCCCGCAACGAGCGCAACCCUUGUCAUUAGUUGCUACGAAAGGGCACUCUAAUGAGACUGCCGGUGACAAACCGGAGGAAGGUGGGGAUGACGUCAAGUCCUCAUGGCCCUUAUGGGUAGGGCUUCACACGUCAUACAAUGGUACAUACAGAGGGCCGCCAACCCGCGAGGGGGAGCUAAUCCCAGAAAGUGUAUCGUAGUCCGGAUUGUAGUCUGCAACUCGACUACAUGAAGUUGGAAUCGAAGGUAAUCGCGGAUCAGCAUGUCGCGGGANACUUUUAAAG